AGAGUUUGAUCAUGGCUCAGGACGAACGCUGGCAGCGCGCCUAACACAUGCAAGUCGAACGAGCGAGAGGAGGUUUACUUUCUCAAGCGAGUGGCGAACGGGUGAGUAACGCGUGAGGAACCUGCCUCAAANAGGGGGACAACAGUUGGAAACGACUGCUAAUACCGCAUAAGCCCACGACCUGGCAUCGGGUAGAGGGAAAAGGAGCAAUCCGCUUUGAGAUGGCCUCGCGUCCGAUUAGCUAGUUGGUGAGGUAAUGGCCCACCAAGGCGACGAUCGGUAGCCGGACUGAGAGGUUGAACGGCCACAUUGGGACUGAGACACGGCCCAGACUCCUACGGGAGGCAGCA
This 350-nucleotide ribosomal RNA is filed under the name uncultured bacterium. Its description in RNAcentral is "bacterial SSU rRNA". It matches the Rfam family "Bacterial small subunit ribosomal RNA", at positions 8 to 353 of the family's 1533-position model. The record is from RNAcentral.